RNAcentral lists this ribosomal RNA (253 nucleotides) under uncultured bacterium. RNAcentral's name for it is "partial 16S ribosomal RNA". It matches the Rfam family "Bacterial small subunit ribosomal RNA", at positions 524 to 776 of the family's 1533-position model. The record is from RNAcentral.
UACGGGGGGGGCAAGCGUUGUUCGGAAUUACUGGGCGUAAAGGGCUCGUAGGUGGCCAACUAAGUCAGACGUGAAAUCCCUCGGCUUAACCGGGGAACUGCGCCUGAUACUGGAUGGCUUGAGUUUGGGAGAGGGAUGCGGAAUUCCAGGUGUAGCGGUGAAAUGCGUAGAUAUCUGGAGGAACACCGGUGGCGAAGGCGGCGACCUGGGCCAAUACUGACGCUGAGGUGCGAAAGCGUGGGGAGCAAACAGG